CGAAUACGUGAAUAAAGAGAGCUGUCCGUCGACAGUCCAGAUACCUAUAACACUGUCAUGGAAUUGCUCUCUUUGUAUAAUAUUCG
RNAcentral lists this microRNA precursor (86 nucleotides) under Drosophila ananassae. Its description in RNAcentral is "microRNA dan-mir-281 precursor (dan-mir-281-1)". Its record names the gene dan-mir-281-1. It matches the Rfam family "mir-46/mir-47/mir-281 microRNA precursor family". Rfam says of the family: The hairpin precursors (represented here) are predicted based on base pairing and cross-species conservation -- their extents are not known. In this case the mature sequences are expressed from the 3' arms of the hairpin precursors. Lineage: Eukaryota; Metazoa; Arthropoda; Insecta; Diptera; Drosophilidae. The record is from miRBase by way of RNAcentral.